UAAUGCUUUAUUAAAUCAUGCACAUGCAGGGAAGAAAAUAACAAGGAGUGCAUCUAUUCAUUAUUUGGUUGUCUUUGGACAUAUUUUAGCUAGAAUUUGAGUUAACAAGAUAGGUAGGUGUAGAUAACAUAUCAAAUCCAUUGAAUUUAGUUCCCUCACACAUUGAAUAUGCACUCAUAUUAUAAAACACUAUCAGGCCAUCCAAAUGAAGCUCUGGCAAUUUUGUGUCAAUAGCCACUACAUCAAGUUGCAACAGACCACGGGAUUGGGCGAUUUUUAAAGGGAAAUUCAGAGAGGUGAUUUCGGUAAGUGUUCUUCAUUUGAUUUUGGUUAAAUUCCGUGAUUGUAUCUUGAUUUUUAUCAUCUAAAUUGGGAAUUGGAGUGUAAAAUUUGGGGAAGGGGGGAUGGAAGAAAAUUGGAGAGAUGAUUUUGGGGAUUUGGAUGGCCAGUUGAUGUCGGAUUUUGAUGAUUUUGGUAUGGGUAGACUCGUGAGCGAAUGAACUUUCUAGUUUUGUAAUUUUUGUUGGAUUCCGAGACGUGGGUCUGGCGGCCGGAUUUGGGAGAAUUUCGGGAUUUGUGCCUAAUUUGCUAGUUUUUCUUCAUGAACUCAUUUCCUCCAAAACUUUUUUUCAACCUUCCCCACCCUAUUUAUCAUCCCCAUCAAACCACCCCCAUCACCCCACACCCACCCAACCACCCCAAUCCCCGCCCUAAAUAGAAAUAUUAUUAAUGGUACUUUCUUUUUAUGUUAUAGAUAGAAUACUUUUUUUCAUUUCAAAAAAAUAAGUAUUUUCUUUUCAUAAUAUAAUUUUAAGAAAAUAUGUACUUUUUUGUGACGUAAACAAAGUAUUUUCUUUCAUUUCAACAAUGAAAGCUUGUAAUAAAAUAGAUAUAUCCUUGCCUCACAAAAAUAUGCCAUUUAAAUGUACUAACAGAUCUCACUAUCAUAAAUAGCAUCAUAAUAUAGCAGAGACAAACACUUAAAUGUGAAUAAAUUAAUGCUUUAUUCAAUCAUGCCCAUGCAGGGAAGAAAAUAACAAGAAGUGCGUUUAUUCAUUAUUUUGUUGUCUUUGGACACAUUUUAGCUAGAAUUUGAGUUAACAAGAUAGGCAGGUGUAGAUAACAUAUCAAAUCCAUUGAACUUAGUUCCUCCACAUGUUGAAUAUGCACCCAUAUUAGAAAACACUAUCAGGUCAUCCAAAUGAAGCUCCGGCAAGUUUAUGUCAAUAGCCACUGCAUCAAGUGAGUCACAACUUGGUCCAUAAAUAGUUGACUCAUAAAUUUGACAAGAUUUUUCUGUUACCUGAAGUAACAAUGGCUUUAUACCCACAAAACAACUAUUAUAAAGUGUUGGCCUAAAUGAUCCAUAAAUCCCUUCAUCAAUCCAAUAUUCUAUUUUCUCACCUCUAACUCUUUUACCAAUCACAUGAGCGACUAACGUAAAUGCCGUUUCUGCAAAAAAACCGCCCUGGCUCUGCAAAUAUUGUUAAAUUAGUCAUGGGAAAAUAAUCUUGGACUGCCUCGUUUACUACACUAGCUAUUUCCUCGAACAAUGGUGUUGAUCUAAAUCCUCCACCAAUGUUUAAAAUUUGCAUUUUAGGCAUUCGAAGAUGAUCAGCAACAUCAAAAACGGCCCUAGCAGCUGCAAUCGCCUCGCGAUAAAUGCUAGGAUUUUGUGCUAUAGAUCCAACAUGAAAUGAAACGCCUACAACUUUUAGCCCGACCACAUUACAAGCGUAAUGCAGUAGUGGCUCAACUUCUUCUGGUAGCACGCCGAAUUUUUUUCCCAGGGGACGUAAUGCGCC
RNAcentral lists this long non-coding RNA (1805 nucleotides) under Nicotiana tabacum (common tobacco). RNAcentral's name for it is "long non-coding RNA (NTAB_LNC015629)". The record is from RNAcentral. Lineage: Eukaryota; Viridiplantae; Streptophyta; Magnoliopsida; Solanales; Solanaceae.